RNAcentral lists this ribosomal RNA (377 nucleotides) under uncultured bacterium. RNAcentral's name for it is "partial 16S ribosomal RNA". It matches the Rfam family "Bacterial small subunit ribosomal RNA", at positions 338 to 732 of the family's 1533-position model. The record is from RNAcentral.
CCUACGGGAGGCAGCAGUGGGGAAUAUUGCACAAUGGGGGAAACCCUGAUGCAGCGACGCCGCGUGAGUGAAGAAGUAUCUCGGUACGUAAAGCUCUAUCAGCAGGGGAGAAAAUGACGGUACCUGACUCCGAAGCACCGGCUAACUACGUGCCAGCAGCCGCGGUAAUACGUAGGGGGCAAGCGUUAUCCGGAUUUACUGGGGGUAAAGGGAGCGUAGACGGCAGUACAAGUCUGGAGUGAAAUCCCGGGGCUUAACCCCGGAACUGCCUUGGAAACUGUGCGGCUGGAGUGAAGGAGGGGUAAGCGGAAUGCCUGGUGUAGCGGUGAAAUGCGUAGAUAUUAGGAGGAACACCGGUGGCGAAGGCAGCUUACUGG